This 253-nucleotide ribosomal RNA is filed under the name uncultured bacterium. RNAcentral's name for it is "partial 16S ribosomal RNA". It matches the Rfam family "Bacterial small subunit ribosomal RNA", at positions 524 to 776 of the family's 1533-position model. The record is from RNAcentral.
UACGUAGGGUGCAAGCGUUAAUCGGAAUUACUGGGCGUAAAGCGUGCGCAGGCGGUUUUGUAAGUCUGGCGUGAAAUCCCCGGGCUCAACCUGGGAAUGGCGAUGGAGACUGCAAGGCUAGAGUUUGGCAGAGGGGGGUAGAAUUCCACGUGUAGCAGUGAAAUGCGUAGAUAUGUGGAGGAACACCGAUGGCGAAGGCAGCCCCCUGGGUCAAAACUGACGCUCAUGCACGAAAGCGUGGGGAGCAAACAGG